This is a long non-coding RNA of Drosophila pseudoobscura, 338 nucleotides long. RefSeq lists it as uncharacterized. The transcript is spliced from 2 exons. NCBI's taxonomy places the organism in Eukaryota, Metazoa, Arthropoda, Insecta, Diptera, Drosophilidae. The record is from RefSeq and is a predicted model, not a curated record.
UGUUGGAUGUUAUGUUAAGCUAAAUAAAUUAGGCGCGAGAAAAAACGCGAUGCAACACACAACCUCACCUCGUUUUUCUUACAUGCCCGCAAUCGUUUUCUAGCAACAUGCUGGAUGUUGCGAAUUUAUUACUUAUAAAUUUAUAGCAUGUUCCGCAACAUGGGCGCGGGAUGGUGCAACAUUUUUCAUACCCUAGGGAAAGGUAUUUCAACGAUAUUUUGAAGGAUUUGGUCUUCUUACCGAUUGUUCAUUGGAUUCAUUGGAUUAGAUCCACCGUGAACAUAGAAUAGAAAAUCUUCCUUCUGUCGGGAAAAAUUUGAAAUAAUGGAAAAUAUACA